GAGGAUUCUCUCAAGUCCCACUCGGUGUGGUUCUUAGGAACGAACCCUCUAACUGUUACAGUUAGGUGACGUUCCUAUGAACCAGAUAGAGUGGGACUUGAGAGAUGGGU
Molecule: microRNA precursor, 110 nt
Filed under: Brassica napus (rape)
Lineage: Eukaryota; Viridiplantae; Streptophyta; Magnoliopsida; Brassicales; Brassicaceae
Description: miR6033 stem-loop (bna-MIR6033)
Source: miRBase by way of RNAcentral